Molecule: ribosomal RNA, 290 nt
Filed under: uncultured bacterium
Lineage: Bacteria
Description: partial 16S ribosomal RNA
Rfam family: Bacterial small subunit ribosomal RNA
Source: RNAcentral
AGCGAACGCUGGCGGCAGGCUUAACACAUGCAAGUCGAGCGGGCGUAGCAAUACGUCAGCGGCAGACGGGUGAGUAACGCGUGGGAACAUACCUUUUGGUUCGGAACAACACAGGGAAACGUUAGUGCUAAUACCGGAUAAGCCCUUACGGGAAGAUUAUCGCCGAAGAUUGGCCCGCGUCUGAUUAGCUAGUUGGUGAGGUAACGGCUCACCAAGGCGACGAUCAGUAGCNGGUCUGAGAGGAUGAUCAGCCACAUUGGGACUGAGACACGGCCCAAACUCCUACGGGA